GGGCAUGUGGUGUAGCUCGCUUAGCAUGUCUCUUUCAGAGCAUACCCCUGCGAGAGGGGUCCGGUUCAAUCCCGGACAUGUCCA
Molecule: non-coding RNA, 84 nt
Organism: Pilatotrama ljubarskyi
Lineage: Eukaryota; Fungi; Basidiomycota; Agaricomycetes; Polyporales; Polyporaceae
Source: the annotation of a GenBank genome assembly